AAUAUCAGCCAUAUCACCCUGCAGCCCAAGGCCGGUUACUUACUGAAGCUAAGCAGGGCUGAGCCUGGUCAGUACCUGGAUGGGAGACCACAUGUGAAAGCUAGGUUGCUGUUGGAA
Ribosomal RNA from Danio rerio (zebrafish), 117 nucleotides. The record is from Ensembl. Lineage: Eukaryota; Metazoa; Chordata; Actinopteri; Cypriniformes; Danionidae.